AUUGAACGCUGGCGGCAGGCUUAACACAUGCAAGUCGAACGAAGUCUUCGGACUUAGUGGCGGACGGGUGAGUAACACGUGGGAACGUGCCUUUAGGUUCGGAAUAACUCAGGGAAACUUGUGCUAAUACCGAAUGUGCCCUUCGGGGGAAAGAUUUAUCGCCUUUAGAGCGGCCCGCGUCUGAUUAGCUAGUUGGUGAGGUAAAGGCUCACCAAGGCGACGAUCAGUAGCUGGUCUGAGAGGAUGAUCAGCCACAUUGGGACUGAGACACGGCCCAAACUCCUACGGGAGGCAGCAGUGGUGAAUCUUGCGCAAUGGGCGAAAGCCUGACGCAGCCAUGCCGCGUGAAUGAUGAAGGUCUUAGGAUUGUAAAAUUCUUUCACCGGGGACGAUAAUGACGGUACCCGGAGAAGAAGCCCCGGCUAACUUCGUGCCAGCCGCCGCCGUAA
RNAcentral lists this ribosomal RNA (449 nucleotides) under uncultured bacterium. Its description in RNAcentral is "partial 16S ribosomal RNA". It matches the Rfam family "Bacterial small subunit ribosomal RNA", at positions 30 to 523 of the family's 1533-position model. The record is from RNAcentral.